GGCUUGAUCCUGGCUCAGAUUGGAACGCUGGCGGGAUGCUUACAUGCAAGUCGAACGGCAGCACGGACUUCGGUCUGGUGGCGAGUGGCGAACGGGUGAGUAAUGGUAUCGAACGUGCCUAGUAAGGGGGAUAACUACGCGAAAGCGUAGCUAAUACCGCAUACUGCCCUUCGGGGGAAAGCGGGGGACCUUCGGGCCUCGCACUAUUAGAGCGGUCACCGGAUUAGCUAGUUGGUGGGGUAACGGCUCACCAAGGCGACGAUCCGUAGCUGGUUUGAGAGGACGACCAGCCACACUGGACUGAGACGGCCCAGACUCUACGGGAGGCAGCAGUGGGGAAUUUGGACAAUGGGGAAACCUGAUCCAGCCAUCCUGCGUGUGCGAUGAAGGCCUUCCGGGUUGUAAAGCACUUGGUGUGAAAGAAACGGCACGGGAUAAUACUCCGGAAAAACUGACGUACCCGCAGAAUAAGCACCGUGGCUAACUACGUGCCAGCAGCCGCGGUAAUACGUAGGGGUGCAAGGCAAGAACACCUGAAUUACUGGGCGUAAAGCGUGCGCAGGCGGUUCGGAAAGAAAGAUGUGAAAUCCCAGAGCUUAACUUUGGAACUGCAUUUUUAACUACCGAGCUAGAGUGUGUCAGAGGGAGGUGGAAUUCCGCGUGUAGCAGUGAAAUGCGUAGAUAUGCGGAGGAACACCGAUGGCGAAGGCAGCCUCCUGGGAUAACACUGACGCUCAUGCAUCGAAAGCGUGGGGAGCAAACAGGAUUGAUAAUUCUGGUAGUCCACGCCCUAAACGAUGUCAACUAGCUGUUGGGCUUUCGGCCUGGUAGCGCAGCUAACGCGUGGAAGUUGACCGCCUGGGGAGUACGGUCGCAAGAUUAAAACUCAAAGGAAUUGACGGGACCCGCACAAGCGGUGGGAUGAUGUGGAUUAAUUGAUGCAACGCGAAACCCAUCACCUACCCUUGACAUGUCUGAAUCCCGAAGAGAUUUGGGAGUGCUCGCAAGAGAACCGAACACAGGUGCUGCAUGGCUGUCGUCAGCUCGUGUCGUGAGAUGUUGGGUUAAGUCCUGCAACGAGCGCAACCCCUUGUCAUUAGUUGCUACGAAAGGGCACUCUAAUGAGACUGCUUGCGACAAACUGGAGGAAGGUGGGGAUGACGCUUGAGUCCUUCAUGGCCCUUAUGGGUAGGGCUUCACACGUCAUACAAUGGUCGGGACAGAGGGUCGCCAACCCGCGAGGGGGAGCCAAUCCUAGAAACCUGAUCGCAGUCCGGAUCGCAGUCUGCAACCUGACUGCGUGAAGUCGGAAUCGCUAGUAAUCGCGGAUCAGCAUGUCGCGGUGAAUACGUUCCUCAGUCUUGUACACACCGCCCGUCACACCAUGGGGAGUGGGUUUUACCAGAAGCGAGCAGGCUCAACCGUAAGGAGGGCGAUUACCACGGUAGGAUUCAUGACUGGUGAAGUCGUAACAAGGUAG
This 1480-nucleotide ribosomal RNA is filed under the name uncultured Bordetella sp. RNAcentral describes it as "partial 16S-23S ribosomal RNA intergenic spacer". It matches the Rfam family "Bacterial small subunit ribosomal RNA". The record is from RNAcentral. Lineage: Bacteria; Pseudomonadati; Pseudomonadota; Betaproteobacteria; Burkholderiales; Alcaligenaceae.